RNAcentral lists this ribosomal RNA (765 nucleotides) under Salmonella enterica subsp. enterica serovar Dublin. RNAcentral's name for it is "partial 23S ribosomal RNA". It matches the Rfam family "Bacterial large subunit ribosomal RNA", at positions 568 to 1252 of the family's 2925-position model. Lineage: Bacteria; Pseudomonadati; Pseudomonadota; Gammaproteobacteria; Enterobacterales; Enterobacteriaceae. The record is from RNAcentral.
AAGCAGAGGGGGCUUAGUGGUGGGGUGACUGCGUACCUUUUGUAUAAUGGGUCAGCGACUUAUAUUCUGUAGCAAGGUUAACCGAAUAGGGGAGCCGGAGGGAAACCGAGUCUUAACCGGGCGUUAAGUUGCAGGGUAUAGACCCGAAACCCGGUGAUCUAGCCAUGGGCAGGUUGAAGGUUGGGUAACACUAACUGGAGGACCGAACCGACUAAUGUUGAAAAAUUAGCGGAUGACCUGUGGCUGGGGGUGAAAGGCCAAUCAAACCGGGAGAUAGCUGGUUCUCCCCGAAAGCUAUUUAGGUAGCGCCUCGUGAAUUCAUCUCCGGGGGUAGAGCACUGUUUCGGCUAGGGGGCCAUCCCGGCUUACCAACCCGAUGCAAACUGCGAAUACCGGAGAAUGUUAUCACGGGAGACACACGGCGGGUGCUAACGUCCGUCGUGAAGAGGGAAACAACCCAGACCGCCAGCUAAGGUCCCAAAGUCAUGGUUAAGUGGGAAACGAUGUGGGAAGGCCCAGACAGCCAGGAUGUUGGCUUAGAAGCAGCCAUCAUUUAAAGAAAGCGUAAUAGCUCACUGGUCGAGUCGGCCUGCGCGGAAGAUGUAACGGGGCUAAACCAUGCACCGAAGCUGCGGCAGCGAACGUAUCACUUAAAGCGAUUCAGCGGGUUACGAUUGACGGAGCGAAGCGACGUCAAAGCGUAUACAAAGUCGAGUCGGUUUAAGGAUACGUUCGUUGGGUAGGGGAGCGUUCUGUAAGCCUGUG